AGAGUUUGAUCCUGGCUCAGGACGAACGCUGGCGGCGCGCCUAACACAUGCAAGUCGAACGAGCGAGAGAGAGCUUGCUUUCUCGAGCGAGUGGCGAACGGGUGAGUAACGCGUGAGGAACCUGCCUCAAAGAGGGGGACAACAGUUGGAAACGACUGCUAAUACCGCAUAAGCCCACGGGUCGGCAUCGACCAGAGGGAAAAGGAGCAAUUCGCUUUGAGAUGGCCUCGCGUCCGAUUAGCUAGUUGGUGAGGUAACGGCCCACCAAGGCGACGAUCGGUAGCCGGACUGAGAGGUUGAACGGCCACAUUGGGACUGAGACACGGCCCAGACUCCUACGGGAGGCAGCAGUGGGGAAUAUUGCACAAUGGGGGAAACCCUGAUGCAGCGACGCCGCGUGGAGGAAGAAGGUCUUCGGAUUGUAAACUCCUGUUGUUGAGGAAGAUAAUGACGGUACUCAACAAGGAAGUGACGGCUAACUACGUGCCAGCAGCCGCGGUAAAACGUAGGUCACAAGCGUUGUCCGGAAUUACUGGGUGUAAAGGGAGCGCAGGCGGGAAGACAAGUUGGAAGUGAAAUCUAUGGGCUCAACCCAUAAACUGCUUUCAAAACUGUUUUUCUUGAGUAGUGCAGAGGUAGGCGGAAUUCCCGGUGUAGCGGUGGAAUGCGUAGAUAUCGGGAGGAACACCAGUGGCGAAGGCGGCCUACUGGGCACCAACUGACGCUGAGGCUCGAAAGUGUGGGUAGCAAACAGGAUUAGAUACCCUGGUAGUCCACACCGUAAACGAUGAUUACUAAGUGUUGGAGGAUUGACCCCUUCAGUGCCGCCAUUAACACAAUA
Molecule: ribosomal RNA, 841 nt
Filed under: uncultured bacterium
Lineage: Bacteria
Description: bacterial SSU rRNA
Rfam family: Bacterial small subunit ribosomal RNA
Source: RNAcentral